This 843-nucleotide ribosomal RNA is filed under the name Salmonella enterica. RNAcentral describes it as "partial 23S ribosomal RNA". It matches the Rfam family "Bacterial large subunit ribosomal RNA", at positions 711 to 1554 of the family's 2925-position model. RNAcentral also lists the same sequence under 3 other names. Lineage: Bacteria; Pseudomonadati; Pseudomonadota; Gammaproteobacteria; Enterobacterales; Enterobacteriaceae. The record is from RNAcentral.
AGACCCGAAACCCGGUGAUCUAGCCAUGGGCAGGUUGAAGGUUGGGUAACACUAACUGGAGGACCGAACCGACUAAUGUUGAAAAAUUAGCGGAUGACCUGUGGCUGGGGGUGAAAGGCCAAUCAAACCGGGAGAUAGCUGGUUCUCCCCGAAAGCUAUUUAGGUAGCGCCUCGUGAACUCAUCUCCGGGGGUAGAGCACUGUUUCGGCUAGGGGGCCAUCCCGGCUUACCAACCCGAUGCAAACUGCGAAUACCGGAGAAUGUUAUCACGGGAGACACACGGCGGGUGCUAACGUCCGUCGUGAAGAGGGAAACAACCCAGACCGCCAGCUAAGGUCCCAAAGUCAUGGUUAAGUGGGAAACGAUGUGGGAAGGCCCAGACAGCCAGGAUGUUGGCUUAGAAGCAGCCAUCAUUUAAAGAAAGCGUAAUAGCUCACUGGUCGAGUCGGCCUGCGCGGAAGAUGUAACGGGGCUAAACCAUGCACCGAAGCUGCGGCAGCGACACUUUAGUGUUGUUGGGUAGGGGAGCGUUCUGUAAGCCGUUGAAGGUGUCCUGUGAGGGGUGCUGGAGGUAUCAGAAGUGCGAAUGCUGACAUAAGUAACGAUAAAGCGGGUGAAAAGCCCGCUCGCCGGAAGACCAAGGGUUCCUGUCCAACGUUAAUCGGGGCAGGGUGAGUCGACCCCUAAGGCGAGGCCGAAAGGCGUAGUCGAUGGGAAACGGGUUAAUAUUCCCGUACUUGGUGUUACUGCGAAGGGGGGACGGAGAAGGCUAUGUUGGCCGGGCGACGGUAGUCCCGGUUUAAGCGUGUAGGCUGGUUUUCCAGGCAAAUCCGGAAAAUCAAG